AGUAUGUUCUUCCAGGGCAGAAC
Molecule: microRNA, 23 nt
Filed under: Pongo pygmaeus (Bornean orangutan)
Lineage: Eukaryota; Metazoa; Chordata; Mammalia; Primates; Hominidae
Description: ppy-miR-567
Gene: ppy-miR-567
Source: miRBase by way of RNAcentral